Molecule: ribosomal RNA, 470 nt
Filed under: uncultured bacterium
Lineage: Bacteria
Description: SSU rRNA
Rfam family: Bacterial small subunit ribosomal RNA
Source: RNAcentral
AGGAUGAACGCUGGCGGCGUGCCUAACACAUGCAAGUCGAACGUCCUGUCUCGCAAGAGGCAGGGAGUGGCGGACGGGUGAGUACCACGUGGGUUAUCUACCGUGAGGUGAGGAAUACCGGCGAGAAAUCGCCGACAAGACCGCAUAGCCUCGGUGCAAGCCGAGCAAAGCUCUUUCGAGAGAGGGAGCGCCACACGAGGAGCCUGCGCCCGAUUAGCUAGCUGGUGGAGUAACGGUUCACCAGGGCGACGAUCGGUAGCUGGUCUGAGAGGACGAUCAGCCACACUGGGAUUGAGAACGGCCCAGACUCCUACGGGGGGCAGCAGUGAGGAAUUUCGUCAAUGGGGCAACCCUGAACGAGCAACGCCGCGUGCAGGAAGAAGGUUUCGGAUCGUAAACUGCUUUUCUCGGGGAAGAGAACGGACGGUACCCGAGGAAUCAGCCCCGGCUAACUACGUGCCAGCAGCCGC